This 46-nucleotide small RNA is filed under the name Arabidopsis thaliana (thale cress). Its description in RNAcentral is "ATSL227130". Lineage: Eukaryota; Viridiplantae; Streptophyta; Magnoliopsida; Brassicales; Brassicaceae. The record is from RNAcentral.
UUUUUUUUUAGUUUUUAUCCUUUGUCUUAACAUUUACUUUUUUUUU